UUAGUGAGCUAAACUCAUCGGAUUAGCGAGCCGAGCGAACCAAAACGACGGGGACGACGCGAGGAUCGACUUUCCUCAAAGCGGGCCGAGCAUCCGGGCUCGGGAAGGCGGCCAAAACGAGCCAAACGUCCGCUGCAUACCUAUUUUCCAACUCUCUGUUUGCUGCUGGUUGGGGGCGAAGGAGGGCAGAUCCGGAGCUGGUUCGGCGGAGGAAUGGCGGAUCCGGCACCGGUUGAGGUGCACAAGGGCCGAGGGACUUCCGGCGAGCUGAGGCGGGGGCGCACGGUGGCUCACGGCGGCGGGGAUGAGCUCCGGCAGCUCCCGGAACCCACGAACCGAGACUGAGAUGCAGC
Molecule: long non-coding RNA, 353 nt
Filed under: Eucalyptus grandis
Lineage: Eukaryota; Viridiplantae; Streptophyta; Magnoliopsida; Myrtales; Myrtaceae
Description: long non-coding RNA (EGRA_LNC000267)
Source: RNAcentral